Myotis davidii is the source of this 199-nucleotide long non-coding RNA. RefSeq lists it as uncharacterized. Lineage: Eukaryota; Metazoa; Chordata; Mammalia; Chiroptera; Vespertilionidae. The transcript is spliced from 3 exons. The record is from RefSeq and is a predicted model, not a curated record.
CCUCUCAUCAUCGAUGUCUCCCUCUCUCCCUCCCUCUCCCUCCCUCUCUGACAUCAAUAAAAACAUGUAUUUUUUAAGGAUAAGGGAGAGCGGCUCUCUGUGCAUUGAGGCCCGACCUGAGCUGUCCCUCACGAUGAAGGUCUUCCUGCCCGUGCUGCUGGCCGCCCUCCUGGGUGUGGAGCAAGCCCACACCCUGGUG